GACGAACGCUGGCGGCGUGCUUAACACAUGCAAGUCGAACGGAAAGGCCCUGCUUUUGUGGGGUGCUCGAGUGGCGAACGGGUGAGUAACACGUGAGUAACCUGCCCUUGACUUUGGGAUAACUUCAGGAAACUGGGGCUAAUACCGGAUAGGAGCUCCUGCUGCAUGGUGGGGGUUGGAAAGUUUCGGCGGUUGGGGAUGGACUCGCGGCUUAUCAGCUUGUUGGUGGGGUAGUGGCUUACCAAGGCUUUGACGGAUAGCCGGCCUGAGAGGGUGACCGGCCACAUUGGGACUGAGAUACGGCCCAGACUCCUACGGGAGGCAGCAGUGGGGAAUAUUGCACAAUGGGCGGAAGCCUAAUGCAGCAACGCCGCGUGCGGGAUGACGGCCUUCGGGUUGUAAACCGCUUUCGCCUGUGACGAAGCGUGAGUGACGGUAAUGGGUAAAGAAGCACCGGCUAACUACGUG
Molecule: ribosomal RNA, 468 nt
Filed under: uncultured bacterium
Lineage: Bacteria
Description: partial 16S ribosomal RNA
Rfam family: Bacterial small subunit ribosomal RNA
Source: RNAcentral